GAGGUAGUAAACUUCUACUGGGGGUAUUAAACUUGAAAAACAGUAUUUCUAAAGGCCAUAACACACCUUAAAACGGAGAAAAAUCAACUUAGAUGCAAAAAAAUAAAGUUUACUGGGGUUAGUAAAAAUUUUACUAAAGUUUACUAGAGGUAGUAAACUUCUACUGGGGGUAUUAAACUUGAAAAACAGUAUUUCUAAAGGCCAUAACACACCUUAAAACGGAGAAAAAUCAACUUAGAUGCAAAAAAAUAAAGUUUACUGGGGUUAGUAAAAAUUUUACUAAAGUUUACUAGAGGUAGUAAACUUCUACUGGGGGUAUUAAACUUGAAAAACAGUAUUUCUAAAGGCCAUAACACACCUUAAAA
Molecule: long non-coding RNA, 365 nt
Organism: Argentina anserina (silverweed cinquefoil)
Lineage: Eukaryota; Viridiplantae; Streptophyta; Magnoliopsida; Rosales; Rosaceae
Exons: 3
Source: RefSeq, a predicted model, not a curated record